GGGCUGGUAGUUAAACCUGGUAUAACGCGCCCCUGGCAGGGGUGAGGCUCCGGGUUCAAAUCCCGGCCAGUCCA
This 74-nucleotide transfer RNA is filed under the name Candidatus Woesearchaeota archaeon. RNAcentral describes it as "tRNA-Ala". It matches the Rfam family "tRNA". From Rfam's summary of the family: Transfer RNA (tRNA) molecules are approximately 80 nucleotides in length. Lineage: Archaea; Nanobdellati; Candidatus Woesearchaeota. The record is from RNAcentral.